Molecule: ribosomal RNA, 509 nt
Filed under: Streptomyces sp. SCAU5109
Lineage: Bacteria; Bacillati; Actinomycetota; Actinomycetes; Kitasatosporales; Streptomycetaceae
Description: bacterial SSU rRNA
Rfam family: Bacterial small subunit ribosomal RNA
Source: RNAcentral
CGUGGGCAAUCUGCCCUGCACUCUGGGACAAGCCCUGGAAACGGGGUCUAAUACCGGAUACUGACCCUCACGGGCAUCUGUGAGGUUCGAAAGCUCCGGCGGUGCAGGAUGAGCCCGCGGCCUAUCAGCUUGUUGGUGAGGUAAUGGCUCACCAAGGCGACGACGGGUAGCCGGCCUGAGAGGGCGACCGGCCACACUGGGACUGAGACACGGCCCAGACUCCUACGGGAGGCAGCAGUGGGGAAUAUUGCACAAUGGGCGAAAGCCUGAUGCAGCGACGCCGCGUGAGGGAUGACGGCCUUCGGGUUGUAAACCUCUUUCAGCAGGGAAGAAGCGAAAGUGACGGUACCUGCAGAAGAAGCGCCGGCUAACUACGUGCCAGCAGCCGCGGUAAUACGUAGGGCGCGAGCGUUGUCCGGAAUUAUUGGGCGUAAAGAGCUCGUAGGCGGCUUGUCACGUCGGUUGUGAAAGCCCGGGGCUUAACCCCGGGUCUGCAGUCGAUACGGGCA